RNAcentral lists this transfer RNA (72 nucleotides) under Stolephorus waitei (spotty-faced anchovy). RNAcentral describes it as "tRNA-Val". Lineage: Eukaryota; Metazoa; Chordata; Actinopteri; Clupeiformes; Engraulidae. The record is from RNAcentral.
UAGGGCGUGGCCGAGAUAGUUAGGCAACUCUCUUACACUGAGUUUACACCCAUGCAAGUUGGGUCGUCCUAA